GCCCGCGUAGCUCAGUGGUAGAGCGCCUCCUUGGUAAGGAGGAGGUCAUGAGUUCAAAUCUCAUCGCGGGCUCCA
This 75-nucleotide transfer RNA is filed under the name Pyrinomonadaceae bacterium. RNAcentral describes it as "tRNA-Thr". It matches the Rfam family "tRNA". Rfam says of the family: Transfer RNA (tRNA) molecules are approximately 80 nucleotides in length. The record is from RNAcentral. Lineage: Bacteria; Pseudomonadati; Acidobacteriota; Blastocatellia; Blastocatellales; Pyrinomonadaceae.